AAUCAACGCUGGCGGCGUGCCUCAGACAUGCAAAUCGAACGCGAAAUUUCCCUUCGGGGAGAAAGUAGAGUGGCGCACGGGUGAGUAACACGUAGGUAAUUUGCCUUUGGGUGGGGAAUAACUCAGGGAAACUUGAGCUAAUACCGCAUAAUGCAGCGGCUCGACAUCGAGACAGUUGUUAAAGCGGGGGAUUGGAGCAAUCCGACCUCGCGCCUAAAGAGAAGCCUGCGGCAGAUUAGCUAGUUGGUAAGGUAAUGGCUUACCAAGGCGACGAUCUGUAACCGGCCUGAGAGGGCGGUCGGUCACACUGGACACUGACAUACGGGUCAGACUCCUACGGGAGGCAGCAGUCGGGAAUUUUGGGCAAUGGGCGCAAGCCUGACCCAGCAACG
Molecule: ribosomal RNA, 392 nt
Filed under: uncultured bacterium
Lineage: Bacteria
Description: bacterial SSU rRNA
Rfam family: Bacterial small subunit ribosomal RNA
Source: RNAcentral